AUGUCAACCACGCGUUUUAAACGGUGCACUCAGUGUGCCGCUAAGAUUCCAGAUUCCGACGGCCACGCUAAGUGCCUUUUCUGCCUUGGCGAAAGCCACGUCGUCGGUACCUGCCGUUUUUGCCUGGCCUUUACAGCUCAGGCCAGAAGAAAUAGAACUGCGAGACUCCGUGCAGCUCUUUACGAAAAAACUCUUGCUCCUGAGGCUUCCACCUCGGCCUCGAUGGCGUCCAGACCUGCUCCGUCGGUAUCAUCUAAAACCUCGAAAACCUCGAGACCGCGACCGACCAAACCACCCUGCACGGUGACCACCGCUACGGUAUCCACCCGGUCGGGCAAGAUGGGCCCUUCAUCAACUUCGAGUUCGGUGGCUUCGGCCAUUUCCACUCGAUCCCGCCUGGCUUCGCCGCCAUCUUCUUCCGCCAUGAAGAUUGCCUUUAAGAGGGCUCAGGAGGAAUCCAGACGGGCUCAAUCUGACUCGGCAGCUGUAUGCCCGAUUCCCCCGACGCCGGGAAAAUCGCUGAGGGUCGCGUCGAAACAACCCCCAGCAAAGAAACGAAUGAUCCAGAGGUCGUCCUCCUCAGCGUCUUCGAAGGACGUCCCCUCCUCUGGGCCUUCCUCUAGGAGAUCCUCUCCUAUCCAACCAGCACAACGCCUCCGCUCCUCUUCCUCUCCUCAUGGUCAGUCCUCGGAUGCGGACGCUCAAGCCUCCCCCGACCGGUCGGUCAGGACAGUUAUUAAGGCUCCCCAGCCGGCACCAUCUCGUCUUCCGGCUCGACAAGAACUCUUUCCCCCGGCUCAAACACCUGAGAGGGGUAGACAGAUGACGCGCUUAGCCCGCGCCGCCCAGGCCUCCGCGUCCAAGGGCGUUCCUCCACAGCCGGCUCUCCCUGCUCCUGAGGUAAUACCUCAUCAGGACUCUGCUUGUUUCUCCUCCCCGGUCCCCUCAAGGGCCCGAGGAGGACGACCCCGAUAUCGAACACCCCGAGUCGAUACUCUCCGCCUCCGUUGUCUCUCUCGGUCUCGACCUCUCCCCGCCUCACGACGCCUACGAGGUCGACCCACCUUCCCCGACGGAUAA
RNAcentral lists this long non-coding RNA (1080 nucleotides) under Anolis carolinensis (green anole). RNAcentral describes it as "lncRNA (ENSACAG00000042263.1)". Lineage: Eukaryota; Metazoa; Chordata; Lepidosauria; Squamata; Anolidae. The record is from RNAcentral.